RNAcentral lists this ribosomal RNA (440 nucleotides) under uncultured bacterium. Its description in RNAcentral is "partial 16S ribosomal RNA". It matches the Rfam family "Bacterial small subunit ribosomal RNA", at positions 338 to 795 of the family's 1533-position model. The record is from RNAcentral.
CCUACGGGGGACAGCAGUAGGGAAUAUUGCGCAAUGGGGGAAACCCUGAAGCAGCAACGCCGCGUGGAGGAUGAAGGUUUUCGGGUUGUAAACUCCUUUUGUUAGAGAAGAUAAUGACGGUAUCUAACGAAUAAGCACCGGCUAACUCCGUGCCAGCAGCCGCGGUAAUACGGAGGGGGCAAGCGUUACUCGGAAUCACUGGGCGUAAAGAGCGCGUAGGCGGGAUAGCAAGUCAGAUGUGAAAUCCUAUGGCUUAACCAUAGAACUGCAUUUGAAACUGUUAGUCUAGAGUAUUGGAGAGGUAGGUGGAAUUCUGGGUGUAGGGGUAAAAUCCGUAGAGAUCAAGAGGAAUACUCAUUGCGAAGGCGACCUGCUAGAACAUAACUGACGCUGAUGCGCGAAAGCGUGGGGAGCAAACAGGAUUAGAUACCCGAGUAGUC